AAGGUAGUGAUGGAAUUGGUAGACAUGAAUAGCUUAGGACUAUUUAAUUAUUUUAAUUUUAUCCGUUCAAGUCGGAUUUACCUUA
RNAcentral lists this transfer RNA (85 nucleotides) under Cairneyella variabilis. Its description in RNAcentral is "tRNA-Leu". The record is from RNAcentral. Lineage: Eukaryota; Fungi; Ascomycota; Leotiomycetes; Helotiales.